This 1194-nucleotide long non-coding RNA is filed under the name Marmota monax (woodchuck). The record is from RNAcentral. Lineage: Eukaryota; Metazoa; Chordata; Mammalia; Rodentia; Sciuridae.
GUCAUAAUGAAUUUCUGAAUUUCAGGGACCAAAAAAAAAAAAAAGAAAACCAAAUACCAGCAAGGGUGCUCACCCACACGGCCACAGGGAUGACAUUGUUCAGAAGCUGCCAGGUUCUGUUUUCUCUUUAACAAACUCUCAGUCAACACCAGCCCUUUCCACCCCCAGAUAUGUCCAUGGACCCCGCACAGCUGGGUCAAGGAGGGCGUAGCAGGGUGAUGCAGGGGAGCGAGGCCCGUAUCCACGCCCAGCGUGGGCUGUGGCCCUUGCUGACCCUCGUCCUGGCUCUGAGGCAGGGCUGGUCAGAUCGGCGCGCCAACCUUCCGCAUUAUUAAAAUUUCCACUUUCCCAGAUAAUGAAGUGUGAUUUUUCCUCUCGGCUCUCCUUCUGCUCGCUUUCUAAUCUCUGGCCACUGCGGCUUGGGGACCACUGCGGCAGGCUGUACAAAGGGAGGCGGAGGCAUCUGAAGUGUCACUCCUCAGCCGCAGCAAAGCACCCGCAUUUCCAUCUUGUUGUCGCUCUGGCCCGUGUGCAGCAGCAGGUGAAAUCAAAGCGGCCCGUCUUCCCCAGCUCACCACAUUAUUUUUCACUGCUGUGGAGAAUCUCUCCGAGCUCCGUGAACCAAUAAAACAACGGUCCUGUUUGAGUUGAUAUAUUAAUAUUUACCGAGGAUUUGCAAGGUCGGGGCUAAAUGUCAGCAGAUUGCUGGGGCAGUCCUGUGGGGAAUAAUUAAACAAAUCUCACAGCAGUUCAGCUUCCUAACAUCUUUAUUAAUCUUUUUUUUUUCUACCCUCCUGAAAUAGUACAUUGAAAUAUUGCUUUUGCAACCUUAGAGAGGAGUCAGAGUAAGUUUAAUAAUAAAAUACUGUGUUGGCGAUGGUAGCUCCUGACAGUUUCUUGGACCCUUCCCUGGCAGAUGUCAGAGAGCAGGGCAGGCUGUGAUGUGUGAAUUAUAACCAAGCUGCUGAGAUUCUCACCUGCCCCUCCAUCAAAUUUAUCCUGACCAAUUUGCCAAACACAAUGAUAUUGUUGCUGUGAUUUGAUCCACUCGCUGACUGCCCGACUGGUCCUCUCUGCUCAGCAAGGUGACUGCCGGCUGCUUGUUCCCGAGGCCACCUUCUUUAACAUGAUUACAGUGUGCACUUUAGUACAAGUUCGACAAUUCUCUUUAAUAAGCUCCAUAAUUAGUGUUGG